Molecule: ribosomal RNA, 213 nt
Filed under: uncultured bacterium
Lineage: Bacteria
Description: partial 16S ribosomal RNA
Rfam family: Bacterial small subunit ribosomal RNA
Source: RNAcentral
GACGAACGCUGGCGGCGUGCUUAACACAUGCAAGUCGAGCGGUAAGGCCCUUUCGGGGGUACACGAGCGGCGAACGGUGAGUAACACGUGGGUGACCUGCCCUCAGCUCUGGGAGUAAGCCUGGGAAACCGGGUCUAAUACUGGAUAUGACUCCAUGACGCAUGUUGUGGGGUGAAAGCCUUGUGCGGCUGAAGGAUGGGCCCGCGGCCUAUC